CCCUUAGAUGUUCUGGGCCGCACGCGCGCUGCACUGAUGCAUUCAACAAGCCUAGCCUUGACCGAGAGGUCCGGGUAAUCUUUGAAACGGCAUCGUGAUGGGGCUAGAUUAUUGCAAUUAUUAAUCUUCAACGAGGAAUGCCUAGUAAGCGUGAUUCAUCAAAUCGCGUUGAUUACGUCCCUGCCCUUUGUACACACCGCCCGUCGCUCCUACCGAUUGAAUGUGUUGGUGAGGAGCUCGGAUUGGCAGCAGUUGGUGGUUCGCCACCGGCUAUUGCUGAGAAGUCCUCCAAACCGCCCCAUUUAGAGGAAGGAGAAGUCGUAACA
RNAcentral lists this ribosomal RNA (326 nucleotides) under uncultured eukaryote. Its description in RNAcentral is "partial 18S ribosomal RNA". It matches the Rfam family "Eukaryotic small subunit ribosomal RNA", at positions 1470 to 1796 of the family's 1831-position model. The record is from RNAcentral.